This 84-nucleotide transfer RNA is filed under the name Deltaproteobacteria bacterium. Its description in RNAcentral is "tRNA-Leu". It matches the Rfam family "tRNA". Rfam says of the family: Transfer RNA (tRNA) molecules are approximately 80 nucleotides in length. RNAcentral also lists the same sequence under 1 other name. Lineage: Bacteria; Pseudomonadati; Myxococcota; Myxococcia. The record is from RNAcentral.
GCGAAGGUGGCGGAACUGGCAGACGCGCUAGCUUGAGGUGCUAGUGUCCGAAAGGACAUAGGGGUUCAAGUCCCCUCCUUCGCA